RNAcentral lists this ribosomal RNA (1355 nucleotides) under uncultured bacterium. RNAcentral describes it as "bacterial SSU rRNA". It matches the Rfam family "Bacterial small subunit ribosomal RNA", at positions 28 to 1381 of the family's 1533-position model. The record is from RNAcentral.
AUUGAACGCUGGCGGCAGGCUUAACACAUGCAAGUCGAACGAUGAUUAUCUAGCUUGCUAGAUAUGAUUAGUGGCGGACGGGUGAGUAACAUUUAGGAAUCUGCCUAGUAGUGGGGGAUAGCUCGGGGAAACUCGAAUUAAUACCGCAUACGACCUACGGGUGAAAGGGGGCGCAAGUUCUUGCUAUUAGAUGAGCCUAAAUCAGAUUAGCUAGUUGGUGGGGUAAAGGCCCACCAAGGCGACGAUCUGUAACUGGUCUGAGAGGAUGAUCAGUCACACCGGAACUGAGACACGGUCCGGACUCCUACGGGAGGCAGCAGUGGGGAAUAUUGGACAAUGGGGGCAACCCUGAUCCAGCCAUGCCGCGUGUGUGAAGAAGGCCUUUUGGUUGUAAAGCACUUUAAGCAGGGAGGAGAGGCUAAUGGUUAAUACCCAUUAGAUUAGACGUUACCUGCAGAAUAAGCACCGGCUAACUCUGUGCCAGCAGCCGCGGUAAUACAGAGGGUGCGAGCGUUAAUCGGAAUUACUGGGCGUAAAGCGAGUGUAGGUGGCUCAUUAAGUCACAUGUGAAAUCCCCGGGCUUAACCUGGGAACUGCAUGUGAUACUGGUGGUGCUAGAAUAUGUGAGAGGGAAGUAGAAUUCCAGGUGUAGCGGUGAAAUGCGUAGAGAUCUGGAGGAAUACCGAUGGCGAAGGCAGCUUCCUGGCAUAAUAUUGACACUGAGAUUCGAAAGCGUGGGUAGCAAACAGGAUUAGAUACCCUGGUAGUCCACGCCGUAAACGAUGUCUACUAGCCGUUGGGGUCCUUGAGACUUUAGUGGCGCAGUUAACGCGAUAAGUAGACCGCCUGGGGAGUACGGCCGCAAGGUUAAAACUCAAAUGAAUUGACGGGGGCCCGCACAAGCGGUGGAGCAUGUGGUUUAAUUCGAUGCAACGCGAAGAACCUUACCUGGUCUUGACAUAGUGAGAAUCUUUCAGAGAUGAGAGAGUGCCUUCGGGAAUUCACAUACAGGUGCUGCAUGGCUGUCGUCAGCUCGUGUCGUGAGAUGUUGGGUUAAGUCCCGCAACGAGCGCAACCCUUUUCCUUAUUUGCCAGCGGGUUAAGCCGGGAACUUUAAGGAUACUGCCAGUGACAAACUGGAGGAAGGCGGGGACGACGUCAAGUCAUCAUGGCCCUUACGACCAGGGCUACACACGUGCUACAAUGGUAGGUACAGAGGGUUGCUACACAGCGAUGUGAUGCUAAUCUCAAAAAGCCUAUCGUAGUCCGGAUUGGAGUCUGCAACUCGACUCCAUGAAGUCGGAAUCGCUAGUAAUCGCAGAUCAGAAUGCUGCGGUGAAUACGUUCCCGGGCCA